AGUGAACGCUGGCGGUAGGCCUAACACAUGCAAGUCGAACGGCAGCACAGGAGAGCUUGCUCUCUAGGUGGCGAGUGGCGGACGGGUGAGGAAUACAUCGGAAUCUGCCCAGUCGUGGGGGAUAACGUAGGGAAACUUACGCUAAUACCGCAUACGACCUUCGGGUGAAAGAGGGGGAUCGCAAGACCUCUCGCGAUUGGAUGAGCCGAUGUCGGAUUAGCUAGUUAGCGGGGUAAUGGCCCACCAAGGCGACGAUCCGUAGCUGGUCUGAGAGGAUGAUCAGCCACACUGGAACUGAGACACGGUCCAGACUCCUACGGGAGGCAGCAGUGGGGAAUAUUGGACAAUGGGCGCAAGCCUGAUCCAGCCAGACCGCGUGGGUGAAGAAGGCCUUCGGGUUGUAAAGCCCUUUUGUUGGGAAAGAAAUCUUUCAGGCUAAUACCCGGGGAGGAUGACGGUACCCAAAGAAUAAGCACCGGCGAACUUCGU
RNAcentral lists this ribosomal RNA (489 nucleotides) under uncultured bacterium. RNAcentral describes it as "partial 16S ribosomal RNA". It matches the Rfam family "Bacterial small subunit ribosomal RNA", at positions 29 to 506 of the family's 1533-position model. The record is from RNAcentral.